RNAcentral lists this ribosomal RNA (480 nucleotides) under uncultured bacterium. Its description in RNAcentral is "partial 16S ribosomal RNA". It matches the Rfam family "Bacterial small subunit ribosomal RNA", at positions 28 to 523 of the family's 1533-position model. The record is from RNAcentral.
GACGAACGCUGGCGGCGUGCUUAACACAUGCAAGUCGAACGGUAAGGCCCUUCGGGGUACACGAGUGGCGAACGGGUGAGUAACACGUGGGUGAUCUGCCCUGCACUUCGGGAUAAGCCUGGGAAACUGGGUCUAAUACCGGAUAGGACCACUGCCUGCAUGGGUGGUGGUGGAAAGCUUUUGCGGUGUGGGAGGUGGGCCCGCGGCCUAUCAGCUUGUUGGUGGGGUGAUGGCCUACCAAGGCGACGACGGGUAGCCGGCCUGAGAGGGUGACCGGCCACACAGAGACUGAGGUACGGCCCAGGCUCCUACGGGAGGCAGCAGUGGGGAAUAUUGCACAAUGGGCGCAAGCCUGAUGCAGCGACGCCGCGUGAGGGAUGACGGCCUUCGGGUUGUAAACCUCUUUCAGCACCGACGAAGCGCAAGUGACGGUAGGUGCAGAAGAAGGACCGGCCAACUACGUGCCAGCCGCCGCGGUAA